Non-coding RNA from Podarcis lilfordi (Lilford's wall lizard), 3985 nucleotides. NCBI's taxonomy places the organism in Eukaryota, Metazoa, Chordata, Lepidosauria, Squamata, Lacertidae. The record is from the annotation of a GenBank genome assembly.
GCUGAAACUUGUGAAGAAUCAGGUAAGGUCUGUUCAAAGGCAAGGGGCUCAGAUCUCUGUAUAGCAAAUGAAACACCAAUUGUGGGGUAGGAGUUUUUGCUUUUGCUUAAAGUGCAUGUUUGCUGAGAGGAAAAAAACCCACUAUAUUGAGCGUGGCUUACUUGCAGGUAGCAGGGCAAAUGGCAUGUUAACCUUGUGGCUAAAAGCAGCAGGGCUUGAGGGAUCAGCUAAGCCUUCGAUCCUGCCAUAGUCCCAAUGCUCAUGAGAGCCGGGGGUGGAAGAUAAAAGGGGAUGCCUCUUUGCUGUGCCAGUUCCCAGGCUGGUACAGGAAAAGAGGCCUGGAUCAGGCCCAUUGCUAUCACGCGACGGCAGCAGGGUCAUCUUGAGAUCCCUUGCCAUCUUACCUCUAACUCUGAAAGCUAUGUUUCAGAAGGUUCCAUGGGCUAUUGCUGAUGGAAAUGCCACCAGCCAUAGCUUCCACCUGUCUGUCAUUUCGGCAGAUGUCUUGGGGAAAUUCCUUAGUGGUGGGUCUCCUGCAUUGAUGAAGGCUAGCAUAGCAAGACAAGGCUAUGCAUAGGGAAACCUAGAUGUCAUCCAAACAAUCCUUCAUCACAGCAGGGUUUUUUUUUGGGGGGGGGGUUAUAUCCAAUGUGAGUCUUACUGAGAGAAGUCUCAUUGAAGUUAAGGAGGAUGACUACCUUAGACUCAUUAAUUUCAAUUGGUCUACUCAGAGUAAAAGUCGCAUUGGAUGCUUACAACCUAGGAGUGGUUUGUGCUGUUAUGCCUGGUGUCUGGCUUUCACACACAACAAGUUUUUUGUAUUAAAAAAGGAGUUCAAGUGGCUAUUUAGAUGCAAUAAAAUGGGUGUGCAGAAACUGGCUGCCCCAAUAUUCUCUCAGUAGCUAUGUGGCUAAGUGUUAUGGGAUAUUUAUGGUUACAUAUUUUUAGUUCUCUUUUAUGCAUGCAAAACUGGGGGUUGCAGGCUUAAAGCAACACGCCAGAUUGAUGUGGGGGUGGAGGGUGGCGUGGGGGUAGAUGAAACAGCCAAGGGAUUUUACAGGUAACAAAAAGAACAAGAUGACUGGUGAAGUGGAAUAUGCAUAGUUCAGUGGUAGAACAUCUGCUUUGCAUGCAGAAGGUCACAGCCUCUAUUCCUGGCAAUAAUAAUAAUAAUAAUAAUAAUAAUAAUAAUAAUAAUAAAUUUAUAUCCCACUUAUCAGGCUGGGUUUCCCCAGCCAUUCUGGGUGGCUCCUGACAGAAUUAAAAGCACAAUAAAACACCAGACAUUAAAAAUUUCCCUAAACAGGGCUGCCUUCAGAUGUCUUCUUCUAAAAAUCAGAUAGAUGUUUACCUCCUUGACAUCUACUGGGAGCGCAUUCCACAGGGCAGGUGCCACUACUGAGAAGGCCCUCUGCCUGGUUCCCUGUAACCUCACUUCUCACAGGGAGGGAACCGCCAAAAGGCCCUCGGAGCUGGACCUCAGUGUCCAGGCUGAAUGAUGGGGGUGGAGACGCACCUUCAGGUAUACUGAAGGUAUAUCUCUGAGUAAGGCUGAGUAAGGUAUAUCUCUGAGUAAGACUGGGCGAAAUUCCUUAUCUUAAAUCCUUAGAAACUGCUGCCAGGGUUGAUAAUACUGAGAAAGGUGGACCAAUGGUCUGACUUGGAAUAAAGUAGCUACCCAUGUUCUGGGGCAUUUUUUCAGCCGGAACUCACUGGAACUCAGUUCUGGCAACUCUCAGGUAGACGUCAUUGCCAUUCAAAGAGAAUGAGGGAGGUGUUCACGGUGAGUUCCCGCACCAUUUUUUCUAGAAAAAUAGCACUGCUGUGUUCCGUUUUUAUGAGGGUUCUUCAAAUUCCUGUCUGUGACUAUAUGGAAUGUGGGGAGGAUGUUAGUUUGGUUUCCAAUUUAUUCCCCACUUCCUGAGACAAUACACAAACUGAAAUGCAGCCAUCCUUUGAAAUUUGUUCUCCUCUGAAUUUCCAAUACAGCUUCCCAACCCUGUCCCAAUGUGCUCUAAACUAUGUAGAUUAGGGAACUGUGUGCAUCAAAAUACACAUAUUAGCACAAAUAGCAUCUUUCAAAAAUAAGUAUUAUUAGGCAAAAAUGCAAACGAAAAUGUCCAUAUUAGAAGAAAUUUGCAUUACAAUUCUGAUUAUUUUUUGUGAGGACAUGUAUAUAUGAUGCAGAAAUAUGCAGAAUUUGAGAAACUCCGAGAAUCUGAAAUAUAUAGAUUUGUCUAUACCUAUCUGGGGAUUGUGAGUAAUAGUCAUAGUAAUAGUAGUAGUAAUGGUAAUAGUAUUGGUAAUAGUAGAUGGUAAUAGUAGCAGUAACAGUAGUAUUGGUAGUGGUAGUAAUGGUAUUAGUUGUAGCAGUAGUAAUAAGAAUAAGUAAUAGUAGUGGUAAAAUAGUAGUAAUGAUAAUAAAAAUAGUAAGAUGAUGAAGAUGACAACGAGGAUGCAGUUUUUCAGUCAAACUGUUUGUGGUAAUGAUCAGUUCUCUUCUCCCUGGUGAUGGACAAAAUUAAGAAGGCCUCUGGUCAAAAUUGCCAACCAACUUUAUCUAGAAAGAAGAGAGUGGGGGUUGAUUUGCUCAUACCCAAUAUAAGAAUCCUGAAAGUAUCUCUUGUGUAGAAGAGACAUUGAGAAAAGGCCAUAGCUCAGUGGGGUAGAGCAGGGAUGUCCAACAGGUCGAUCACGAUCUACUGGUCAAUCCCCAGGAGGUGUUCGUAGAUCAGUCGAUCGCGGGCUCCCGUUCCUUUGUGUUGGCAAAAGAGCAACUGGCCCCACCCCCUCACCCCAUCCACCAUUCAUGCAUGAUCGCUAGAACGGAAGACGGAGUUUUCACUGUGAGGCUGAUCGCUUCCUUAGCGAUCUUUUGGUGAGCAACUUUUCCCCUUUCCCCUUUAUCAACAUUUUUGAAUCUCCUCCCUAAAAAAAGAUUGCAGUCUCUUGGGAGUUGGACAUCCCCGGAGUAGAGCAUCAUCUUUGCAUGCAGAAGGUCCCAGGUUCAAUCCCUAGGACACCUCCAGAGAAAACCCUGCAUAGACCCUGGAAAGCCACUGCCAAUCAGAUACCAAUGGGAAGCACGCGGGCAGGACCUGGGUGCAACACGCCACACAUGCCAUUCCCAGAAACUGGUAUUCAGAGACAUGCUUCCAAAACAGUGUUGGUGAAACAUAGCCAUCAUAGCUAGAGGCCAAUGCUUUAGGUCAGGCCUGUCCAACCGGUCGAUCACGAUCUACAGGUUGAUUGUGGGCUGUCCCUGGUCAUUUCUGGUUGAGCUCCAGCGAUUGCCCAAUCACCCCUCCAAAAAAAAACCCUCAACAACUUAACAACUUUGGUCAUUUCCCCCCCAAAAAACUCAACAAUUCUGGUCGAUCCAAUGGGUAGAUCACUGCCAGUUUAUUCAUAGUGGGAGUAGGUCGCAGUCUCUUGGAAGUUGAACACCCCUGCUUUAGGUUAAUUGCUUCAUUAUUUGUGAUAUGUGUCUUUCCCCACUUCAUUUUAGAUUUGCCUCCCACCACAUAGCCAUGGUUUUCCCCGGGGAGCUUUGUGGCUACAACGUCUCCUGCAGCACAAGCCUCCCCUCAACAACGCUCCUAUUGCAACCACCAGCUAUUGUGGCUGAAACAAAGCUGACAGACCUAGAGAUCCUCAUCCCGGAGCCCCCGCCUUGUGAAAUCCCAGAAUGUGGCUUCGAUCCAUGCCACUUGCCUCCAUGGUACUGCCACCUUCCUCCUGAGCCACCCAUCAUUUUUGCCACCUUCACCACUUGCCUUCAUGAAGCAUAGGUGCGGCUUGCCGGCGGCCAUCUUGCAAUAGGCCUGUUUCAGGCAGGAGGUGCUGCGGACAGGAAGUAGGGGCUGCAUUAGGAACGGGAGUCUGGAGCAAUGCUCCACACAUUGGGGCCACACUUGUUAUUGGCGCCUGUCCUUAAAGGUUCAGGAUCGGCAGCCAUCAUCCAUUUUGUAUAUCCAUGUAGUAG